GAUGAACGCUGGCUACAGGCUUAACACAUGCAAGUCGUGGGGAAACGGCAUUAUGUGCUUGCACAUUCUGGACGUCGACCGGCGCACGGGUGAGUAUCGCGUAUCCAACCUGCCCCUUACUUGGGGAUACCCCGUUGAAAGACGGCCUAAUACCCGAUGUGUUUCAUUGACGGCAUCCGAUAUGAAACAAAGGUUUUCCGGUAAGGGAUGGGGAUGCGUCUGAUUAGCUAGUUGGCGGGGCAACGGCCCACCAAGGCGACGAUCAGUAGGGGUUCUGAGAGGAAGGUCCCCCACAUUGGAACUGAGACACGGUCCAAACUCCUACGGGAGGCAGCAGUGAGGAAUAUUGGUCAAUGGACGCAAGUCUGAACCAGCCAAGUAGCGUGCAGGAUGACGGCCCUAUGGGUUGUAAACUGCUUUUAUGUGGGAAUAAAGUGGCGCACGUGUGCGCCAUUGCAUG
RNAcentral lists this ribosomal RNA (460 nucleotides) under Prevotella nigrescens. RNAcentral's name for it is "bacterial SSU rRNA". It matches the Rfam family "Bacterial small subunit ribosomal RNA", at positions 28 to 475 of the family's 1533-position model. The record is from RNAcentral. Lineage: Bacteria; Pseudomonadati; Bacteroidota; Bacteroidia; Bacteroidales; Prevotellaceae.